UAUUAAAAAUUUUAUCUAUUUGUAUUUUUAAAAAUUAGUUUGCCUCGUGGAUUAACCAAACAAUGGCACGUGGUGUGUCACGUAUACGUUAUACUGACAUAUAGAGAUCAAUUUUUAACCAUAGAAAUAGAUAGAACUUUUAAUA
Molecule: microRNA precursor, 145 nt
Organism: Gossypium arboreum
Lineage: Eukaryota; Viridiplantae; Streptophyta; Magnoliopsida; Malvales; Malvaceae
Rfam family: MIR7502 microRNA precursor family
Source: Rfam